GAAAUGCGAUACUUGGUGUGAAUUGCAGAAUCCCGUGAACCAUCGAGUCUUUGAACGCAAGUUGCGCCUGAAGCCUUUUGGUUGAGGGCACGUCUGCCUGGGCGUCACGCAUCGCGUCUCCCCCAACCCACCUUGCGUGGGAAGGUGGGAGGAAGAUGGCUUCCCAUGCCUCACCGGGCAUGGUUGGCCUAAAUAAGGAGCCUUAGGUUACAAAAUGCUGCGUUCUUCAUCGAUGCCAGCCUAUCGAGA
This 249-nucleotide unclassified non-coding RNA is filed under the name uncultured fungus. Its description in RNAcentral is "sequence contains ITS1". The stretch from base 1 to 107 matches the Rfam family "5.8S ribosomal RNA", at positions 50 to 154 of the family's 154-position model. The record is from RNAcentral. Lineage: Eukaryota; Fungi.